CUGCAAUUUCUUGGCUGAUCUGACGGUGUGUUGGUGGCCCACGAUCAGAGAGAGCAAGGGAGUUUCAGAAUUUGGGGCUGCCAGAGGAAAAGGAGAAAUCCUCUUUGAACUUCCAAAACAUAACCACUUACAUUACGAAGGGUGUCAAAACAUUGUCUAACAGCCUGACAUGGAGUGAGUUUGGAGUGGGACUAUUUGUUUCUCAGUGAAAUUCAGAACAUUUGCAAAAGGACUUUGGAUGUCAUAGCUGAGUAAAAUUGACAUUAAAGACCAUGGACCACAACAUUUCCUGCAUCCAACAGAAAUAGCCAAAAUCUUCCAGAAGUACUUAAUGGAGGAACAAGUGCACUCAACUGUCUGUCUCUCACUCACACACACAUUUUGAGCUGGGAAACUGUGAGAAGUAAGGUCAAAAUGGCACACGCACCUGACAACACUCCAGCGUCUGUCAUCUCACCUCAACAGCAUCUCUUCUUCAUGUUGACAUGCUUACCGCUCCAUUUUACUGCCAUGUAUUGUAAGCAUAACACCACACAAAUGAACAUAUAAAUGCUUUAAUGAACACACAUUGGAAAACAUUAUAAGUAAAACUGG
Cyprinus carpio carpio is the source of this 594-nucleotide long non-coding RNA. Lineage: Eukaryota; Metazoa; Chordata; Actinopteri; Cypriniformes; Cyprinidae. The record is from Ensembl.